RNAcentral lists this ribosomal RNA (253 nucleotides) under uncultured bacterium. RNAcentral's name for it is "partial 16S ribosomal RNA". It matches the Rfam family "Bacterial small subunit ribosomal RNA", at positions 524 to 776 of the family's 1533-position model. The record is from RNAcentral.
UACGGAGGGUGCAAGCGUUAUCCGGAUUCACUGGGUUUAAAGGGUGCGUAGGUGGGCAGGUAAGUCAGUGGUGAAAUCUCCGGGCUUAACCCGGAAACUGCCGUUGAUACUAUCUGUCUUGAAUAUCCUGGAGGUGAGCGGAAUAUGUCAUGUAGCGGUGAAAUGCUUAGAUAUGACAUAGAACACCAAUUGCGAAGGCAGCUCACUACGGGAUCAUUGACACUGAGGCACGAAAGCGUGGGGAUCAAACAGG